GACAGAGGUGGCAAGCGUUGUUCGGAUUUACUGGGCGUAAAGAGCGUGUAGGCGGUCAGGUAAGUCAGUUGUGAAAUCCCAUGGCUUAACCAUGGAAAUGCUUCUGAAACUGCCUGACUGGAGUGCAGGAGAGGAGAGUGGAAUUUCCAGUGUAGCGGUGAAAUGCGUAGAUAUUGGAAGGAACACCUGUGGCGAAGGCGGCUCUCUGGACUGCAACUGACGCUGAGACGCGAAAGCGUGGGGAGCAAACAGG
RNAcentral lists this ribosomal RNA (253 nucleotides) under uncultured bacterium. RNAcentral describes it as "partial 16S ribosomal RNA". It matches the Rfam family "Bacterial small subunit ribosomal RNA", at positions 524 to 776 of the family's 1533-position model. The record is from RNAcentral.